This 442-nucleotide long non-coding RNA is filed under the name Vitis vinifera (wine grape). RNAcentral's name for it is "long non-coding RNA (VVIN_LNC003603)". Lineage: Eukaryota; Viridiplantae; Streptophyta; Magnoliopsida; Vitales; Vitaceae. The record is from RNAcentral.
GGGUUCGGAAACACCACCAGCUUCAAAUUACUCACAAUCCGAGACAGAUCCCUCUUCACAGUGUCCCACACCGGCUCCGUCAAAGUGUUCGCCUGAGAACCGAACCCGCUAGCUCCGAUACUCGGGCGGGUAGAACUCGAAUUCGAGGUGUUUGGCAACGGCGGCGGCACCGCCGCCGGAACCACAGCCGGAACCACGGGGGGUUUGUUGUAGGUGGGCGGUGGAAUAUUGGAUUGGAUGAAGGGCGUGGAAGACACCGGAAUCGAGGCCCGCGGAGGGCUUGGCGGUCUGGCAGGCAAGACGGUGGCUGGGCCAGAUUGGACGCUGGCGUUGAUGAGGUUCUCGAUCUCAUCGAUGUCGGAUUGGGAGGAGGGGUGGAGAGGUAUGGUGUCGCUGUGGGACAUUUUCUCGGGAAGGUGGUGGAAAAUGGGGUGGAUCUGGG